UCCGAUCUGUAACCCACUAGAACUGCUUAUAAGGACACGUACACCCUCCUGGUCUAGCAUACUACACCACAUUGUUCCACCAAUGGCAGCUCAGACCGGAGCAGCGCUCCUCCUCGCCGGCCUCCUCGCUCUUGCAACCAUUGUCAGCAGCAACACUGAAGGUACAUACAUACCCCUACAUGCCGAUUUGUUGCUUAAAGAUUUGGUGCUGAAUCACGUCCAAUGUGUUGCUACUCGAAGGCGACAUCCUUUACUCGCAAAGGCAGGUGUGGAAGGACCCCAACAACGUGCUGACGAGCUGGGAUCCGACGCUUGUCAACCCUUGCACUUGGUUCCAUGUCACCUGCAACCUCGACAACUCCGUCAUCCGAGUGUAUGCGACACCACUUUUCUCCUUCCUCCUCUGAAGGUCCAAAUUAGUUCCAUGAUAGGAAGCUACCAAUCUGCUUGUCUGCAUGCUGUUUGCAUAGUUAUUUCCAACAUUCAGGAACUUCUAAUUUGGACAAAAACCGCAUGAUUGUUGUUGAAUCUCUACAGAUUAACUGAAUCAUACUUGUGUUCCUCCUCACUGUUCAGGGAUUUGGGGAACGCGGGCAUCUCAGGCACCCUGAUUCCUCAACUGGGACAACUGAAGAACCUGCAGUACCUGUAAUUUCUGCAACUUACUGCAAAGUGCACACUUGUCAAAUUACACUCAAUAUUUUCCACAGAAUGAUCUUCUUAUGUUCAUAGGGAGCUGUACGCGAACAAUAUGAGUGGACCAAUACCAACAACCCUGGGCAACCUGACACGCCUGGUCACCCUCGAUCUCUACGACAACCAUUUCACCGGCGCGAUACCUUCCUCGCUUGGGGCAGUGGGGACGCUUCGUUUUCUGUAUGAGUCUCACUGCUACAAUUUUCAGACAACGAAAUAUUGAAAUGAUUACUAAUUGUCUCCAACUGCUGAAAACAAUCUGUUGGUGCCUAUCUUCAGGAGGCUACAUGGGAACAAACUGGCGGGAGAUAUACCGACGUCGUUGGGCCGUCUGACGAAGCUUGUCGAGCUGGAGCUUCAGGAGAACAUGCUUACUGGCGUGGUGCCGCUGGAGGUUCUCUCUCUUGUUCUUGUCGGGGACUUGACUGAACUGUGAGUAGUGC
Molecule: long non-coding RNA, 1139 nt
Filed under: Hordeum vulgare
Lineage: Eukaryota; Viridiplantae; Streptophyta; Magnoliopsida; Poales; Poaceae
Description: long non-coding RNA (HVUL_LNC008147)
Source: RNAcentral